UGGCUCAGAGUGAACGCUGGCGGCAGGCCUAACACAUGCAAGUCGAACGGCAGCGGGUAGGAAGCUUGCUUCCUAUGCCGGCGAGUGGCGGACGGGUGAGGAACACAUCGGAAUCUACUCCGUCGUGGGGGAUAACGUAGGGAAACUUACGCUAAUACCGCAUACGACCUAAGGGUGAAAGUGGGGGACCGCAAGGCCUCACGCGAUGGAAUGAGCCGAUGUCCGAUUAGCUAGUUGGCGGGGUAAAGGCCCACCAAGGCGACGAUCGGUAGCUGGUCUGAGAGGAUGAUCAGCCACACUGGGACUGAGACACGGCCCAGACUCCUACGGGAGGCAGCAGUGGGGAAUAUUGGACAAUGGGCGAAAGCCUGAUCCAGCCAUGCCGCGUGGGUGAAGAAGGCCUUCGGGUUGUAAAGCCCUUUUGUUGGGGAAGAAAUCCUGCUGGCUAAUACCCGGCGGGGAUGACGGUACCCAAAGAAUAAGCACCGGCUAACUUCGUGCCAGCAGCCGCGGUAAUACGAAGGGUGCAAGCGUUACUCGGAAUUACUGGGCGUAAAGCGUGCGUAGGUGGUGGCUUAAGUCCGUUGUGAAAGCCCUGGGCUCAACCUGGGAAUUGCAGUGGAUACUGGGUCACUAGAGUGUGGUAGAGGGUGGCGGAAUUCCCGGUGUAGCAGUGAAAUGCGUAGAGAUCGGGAGGAACACCCGUGGCGAAGGCGGCCACCUGGGCCAACACUGACACUGAG
RNAcentral lists this ribosomal RNA (743 nucleotides) under Pseudoxanthomonas taiwanensis. Its description in RNAcentral is "bacterial SSU rRNA". It matches the Rfam family "Bacterial small subunit ribosomal RNA", at positions 20 to 750 of the family's 1533-position model. The record is from RNAcentral. Lineage: Bacteria; Pseudomonadati; Pseudomonadota; Gammaproteobacteria; Lysobacterales; Lysobacteraceae.